Molecule: non-coding RNA, 148 nt
Filed under: Anaerotruncus sp. G3(2012)
Lineage: Bacteria; Bacillati; Bacillota; Clostridia; Eubacteriales; Oscillospiraceae
Description: RT-14 RNA
Rfam family: RT-14 RNA
About the family: Cloacimonetes, Firmicutes, Proteobacteria. Nearby to self-splicing intron genes
Source: Rfam by way of RNAcentral
UUUACCCUCACAGCCGGAUAUUCAGAGCCUAUGGGCUUUGUUUCAGUGCAGAGGGGAUAAAGGGACCUGUCCCCGGCCAGGAAUGGCGAAAAUCAAAUCUCAUGGAAGCCGCCAGUAGCCCAGACCGGGCGAGAGCCGUGACACAUGA